UGGGGAAUAUUGCACAAUGGGCGCAAGCCUGAUGCAGCCAUGCCGCGUGUAUGAAGAAGGCCUUCGGGUUGUAAAGUACUUUCAGCGGGGUGGAAGGGAGUAACGUUAAUACCUUUGCUCAUUGACGUUACCCGCAGAAGAAGCACCGUCUAACUCCGUGCCAGCAGCCGCGGUAAUACGGAGGGUGCAAGCGUUAAUCGGAAUUACUGGGCGUAAAGCGCACGCAGGCGGUUUGUUAAGUCAGAUGUGAAAUCCCCGGGCUCAAACUGGGAACUGCAUCUGAUACUGGCAAGCUUGAGGCUCGUAGAGGGGGGUAGAAUUCCAGGUGUAGCGGUGAAAUGCGUAGAGAUCUGGAGGAAUACCGGUGGCGAAGGAGGCCCCCUGGACGAAGACUGACGCUCAGGUGCGAAAGCGUGGGGAGCAAACAGG
This 429-nucleotide ribosomal RNA is filed under the name Chloroflexota bacterium. RNAcentral's name for it is "Chloroflexi bacterium partial 16S ribosomal RNA". It matches the Rfam family "Bacterial small subunit ribosomal RNA", at positions 355 to 776 of the family's 1533-position model. The record is from RNAcentral. Lineage: Bacteria; Bacillati; Chloroflexota.